Myotis davidii is the source of this 285-nucleotide long non-coding RNA. RefSeq lists it as uncharacterized. The transcript has 3 exons. Lineage: Eukaryota; Metazoa; Chordata; Mammalia; Chiroptera; Vespertilionidae. The record is from RefSeq and is a predicted model, not a curated record.
UCAAAUUCCUGCACUUGGAGCAUUGACGCCUGCUGUGACGGGCCCUUCCGAGGCAGGCAGUCCGUGGAGCGUAGCACUACCUCACGGGAGAUUCCAUCUCAUAUGACCAGACCCCAGGCAAUAAGGGCCAGAUGGAGAGAGAGGUUUCUGUUGGGCUCCCUGAACCUCCACUUGGGCCCUCAGGUUUAAGAAUGCUACAAGACCUGGCCAGUGUGGCUCAGUUGGUUGGAGUGCCAUACCAUGCACCGAAAGGUGGUGGAUUUGAUUCCCCAUCAGGGCACAUGC